UAUGUGAUCGUCUCUUGCAUAUCAAUAAGCGGAGGAAAAGAAACUAACAAGGAUUCCCCUAGUAACGGCGAGUGAAGCGGGAAGAGCUCAAAUUUGAAAUCUUAAAGGGUUUCCCUUUACGAAUUGUAGUUUAAAGAAGUGUUUUCUGUUGAGGUUUUGGUAAAAGUUCUUUGGAAUAGGACAUCAUAGAGGGUGAGAAUCCCGUAUUUGACCUUUACUUUCAACUUUGUGAUACACUUUCAAAGAGUCGGAUUGUUUGGGAAUGCAGUCCAAAAUGGGUGGUAAAUUUCAUCUAAAGCUAAAUAUUGGCGAGAGACCGAUAGCGAACAGGUACCGUGAGGGAAAGAUGAAAAGAACUUUGAAAAGAGAGUUAAACAGUACGUGAAAUUGUCAAAAGGGAAGCGUUUGACACCAGUGUUGUUUUUCUGAAAAUCAAUUAAAGAACUGUUUAUGCUAAGCUGUUUAGACUUUAUCAGCUAUCUGUUUAGUUUUGAGCUUCUCUUUAAUGCACUUUUCAGUUAACAAGUCAACAUCAAUUUCUUUUGCUGUAAAAAAGCUUGAGGAAGGUGGCUUGAGAUUCGUCUUAAGUGUUUAUAGCCUCUUGCCUAUGCAGUCGGAGAGAUUGAGGUCUGCAGCGUAGAUCCUUCGGGGCUAAAUGCAUUUGUGCUAAGUUAUAGCAUUUUAUAGACAACUUGUUGACUAUGAUUUGUCUUGUAGCUUACUCGCUUAUGUUAUUUUACCUACGCUUAGGAUGUUGAAGAUAUGCGCGACACG
Molecule: ribosomal RNA, 774 nt
Filed under: uncultured Neocallimastigales
Lineage: Eukaryota; Fungi; Neocallimastigomycota; Neocallimastigomycetes; Neocallimastigales
Description: partial large subunit ribosomal RNA
Rfam family: Eukaryotic large subunit ribosomal RNA
Source: RNAcentral